RNA transcript from Anolis sagrei ordinatus, 2253 nucleotides. It is a transcript of the gene named SPNS lysolipid transporter 2, sphingosine-1-phosphate, with no coding region annotated. The record is from RefSeq and is a predicted model, not a curated record. NCBI's taxonomy places the organism in Eukaryota, Metazoa, Chordata, Lepidosauria, Squamata, Anolidae.
GCGGCAGGUGCGCCUCUCUCUCUCUCUCUCUCUCUCUCUCUCUCUCCUAUGAUGUGCCUGGAGAGCGAGGGCGGAGGGGCGGCGGGGGCCACAACGGGGGCCCCCCAUUGCAACACCCACAGCAGUGGGCGACGCCAGAGGGUCUCUUCCUCCGCCCUGGGAGACGAUGAAGAGGAGGACGACGGAGGAGGAGGAGGAGGGGGAAGAGGAGAGGGGAUGAAGGCUCCUGCCACCACUGCUUGUGCUGCUGCUCCUUCCUCCUCCUCCUCUUCCAGCCAUGGCGGGCUCAAUGGGAGCCUGGGCAAGGCGCGCGUGGCCGCCGCAGCCAUCCUCAGCGCAGGAAACGUCCUCAAUUACCUGGACAGGUACACCGUCGCAGGGGUCUUGCUGGACAUCCAGCAGCAUUUCGGGGUCAAGGACAGCGGGGCCGGCCUCCUGCAGACAGUCUUCAUCUGCAGCUUCAUGGUGGCGGCACCCAUCUUCGGCUACCUGGGCGACAGGUUCAACCGGAAGGUGAUCCUCAGCUGCGGGAUCUUCUUCUGGUCGGUCAUCACCUUCUCCAGCUCCUUCAUCACGCAAGAGUAUUUCUGGCUGUUUGUCCUCUCGCGGGGCUUGGUGGGCAUCGGCGAGGCCAGCUACUCCACCAUCGCGCCCACCAUCAUCGGCGACCUCUUCACCAAAAACACCCGGACCCUCAUGCUGUCCGUCUUCUAUUUCGCCAUUCCUCUGGGCAGUGGUUUAGGAUACAUCACCGGCUCGAGUGUCAAGCAAUUGGCUGGGGACUGGCAUUGGGCCCUCCGGGUCUCUCCCCUCCUCGGCGUCAUCACUGGCACCUUGAUCUUGAUCUUCGUCCCAGCGGCCAAACGGGGCACGGUGGAGCCCUUGGGGGCCCAGCUCAAGGCCCGGACCUCCUGGCUGAGAGACAUGAAGGCCCUCGUCCGCAACCGCAGCUACGUCUUCUCCUCCUUGGCCACCUCCGCCGUCUCCUUUGCCACGGGCGCCCUGGGCAUGUGGAUCCCGCUCUACCUCCACCGGGCCCAAGUGGUCCAGAAGACGGCCGAGACCUGCUCCGCCCAGCCCUGCGGCACCAGAGACAGCCUGAUCUUCGGGGCCAUCACCUGCUUCACGGGCUUCCUGGGCGUGAUCACGGGGGCCGGGGCCACCAAGUGGUGUCGGGGGAAGACCCAGCGGGCCGACCCCCUCGUCUGUGCCGUGGGGAUGCUGGGCUCCGCCAUCUUCACCUGCCUCAUCUUCGUGGCAGCCAAGAGCAGCAUCGUGGGUGCCUACGUCUGCAUUUUUGUUGGCGAAACGCUUUUGUUUUCUAAUUGGGCCAUCACUGCCGACAUCCUUAUGUAUGUGGUCAUUCCUACCCGUCGGGCGACGGCAGUGGCUUUGCAGAGCUUCACAUCGCACCUUCUGGGAGACGCUGGGAGUCCCUACCUGAUUGGAUUUAUUUCGGACCUGAUCCGUCAGAGCACCAAGGGGACCGCGCUGUGGGAGUUCCUCAGCCUGGGCUAUGCGCUCAUGCUCUGCCCCUUCGUGGUGGUCCUGGGCGGGAUGUUCUUCCUGGCCACCGCCCUCUUCUUCCUCGGAGACCGAGCCAAAGCCGAGCAGCAUCCUGAUUGGGAUGCGCUGGCCCCGGGCAACUCCAUUAACUCGGAAGACGCGGCCCCAUGAUAACCGCGAGGGAUUUCGGGGGGCCAACCAACUGAUGAUGCCUCCAGCUUCUGUGAAAGUCUAAGUCUGGCUGACAUCUCCGGCGAUGAAGGAAACCUUUUGUGAGCGGCCAAGAAACCCCCAAACAAGCACCCGGAGCAAGGAGAGCUCUCCCUCGCCACUGGGAAAGACCGCCGGGAGACCUCUUCCUAGACACAACGAGCCUCUAUGGCUUCCAUGGCACCGAGUGCUGUGACGGCAGCCUCGAAAGCAGUGCUCCCCUUCGCCCCAAAGAGAAACACUUGAGACAGCAGGGCACACGACGGGACUUUGGGCCAAUGGGGUGGAUCUCGAACCCUUUUGACAAUGGUCUUUACCUCCAGCCAAAACUUUAGAAGGAACGCUUGCAAAAUCCUAGAUGACAACGAUAUUAUUAUUAUUAUUUUGCCUCCAUUUGCAGAAGUCCAAAAAGACUAAACUGGGCAGAGAUACAUCUCAUGUAUAUUUUGGUGAAUGAUCUUGGGGUUAGUAUGGGGAGACAUAGCGAUGGGAUAAGCAUAUGCCUCUCUAGAUGCAAGUUCUUGCAUAUGUAUGUGU